AUACGUAGGGGGCGAGCGUUGUCCGGAAUGAUUGGGCGUAAAGGGCGCGUAGGCGGCCUGUUAAGUCCGGAGUGAAAUUCCUGCUUUCAAGGUAGGAAGUGCUUUGGAAACUGGCGGGCUGGAGUGCAGGAGAGGUUAGCGGAAUUCCCGGUGUAGCGGUGAAAUGCGUAGAGAUCGGGAGGAACACCAGUGGCGAAGGCGGCUAACUGGACUGUAACUGACGCUGAGGCGCGAAAGUGUGGGGAGCAAACAGGAUUAGAUACCCUGGUAGUCCACACGGUAAACGAUGAAUGCUAGGUGUAGGGGGUAUCGACCCCUUCUGUGCCGGAGUAAACACAAUAAGCAUUCCGCCUGGGGAGUACGGCCGCAAGGUUGA
This 376-nucleotide ribosomal RNA is filed under the name uncultured bacterium. Its description in RNAcentral is "bacterial SSU rRNA". It matches the Rfam family "Bacterial small subunit ribosomal RNA", at positions 523 to 897 of the family's 1533-position model. The record is from RNAcentral.